Molecule: long non-coding RNA, 459 nt
Filed under: Olea europaea (common olive)
Lineage: Eukaryota; Viridiplantae; Streptophyta; Magnoliopsida; Lamiales; Oleaceae
Description: long non-coding RNA (OEUR_LNC000683)
Source: RNAcentral
GAUCCGGCCCCUCUUCACACAGUCCGGUUAAUCGCAGGAUGUGCCUCCAACUGGCCAGGGUCCGAGCGCUCCCCACCUGGUCUGACAAAGUGCCAAGCAAGCCAAUCCAAGUUGCACCUUGCCUUCCAAGAAUAAUCCUUGCCUUCCAAGUUCCCACUUGCCUUCCAAGAAUAAAUCCUUGCCUUCCAAAUGUUCCCUUGCCUUCCAAGAAUAAAUUCUUGCCUUCCAAGAGCCCCAUGUUUCGAACUCACGACCUCUGCUCUGCCAGGUUUGACAGCGUCCGUCCUUUGCCAGUGAAGAAGUGCCCUGGGGGGCUAAACUGUGUAGGGUAAACUUUUUAAAGUGACUGGCCCCACCGCACUGCGGCCCCAUACUCCAGAAACCCCACCUCCGGCCUGGCCCUACGGGUUAGUAUACACCGCUUGGCCCUACACGUAUGGAGGGAUUUUUUGGAGAGGC